This 69-nucleotide transfer RNA is filed under the name Strongylura anastomella. Its description in RNAcentral is "tRNA-Arg". It matches the Rfam family "tRNA". Rfam says of the family: Transfer RNA (tRNA) molecules are approximately 80 nucleotides in length. Their secondary structure includes four short double-helical elements and three loops (D, anti-codon, and T loops). The record is from RNAcentral. Lineage: Eukaryota; Metazoa; Chordata; Actinopteri; Beloniformes; Belonidae.
AGGUUGUUAGUCUAAAAAAAACAUUUGAUUUCGGCUCAAAAACUUAUGGUUUAAGUCCAUGACUGCCUA